CCUACGGGAGGCAGCAGUGGGGAAUAUUGGGCAAUGGGCGCAAGCCUGACCCAGCAACGCCGCGUGAAUGAAGAAGGCUUUCGGGUUGUAAACUUCUUUUGACAGGGAAGAGCAGAAGACGGUACCUGUCGAAUAAGCCACGGCUAACUACGUGCCAGCAGCCGCGGUAAUACGUAGGUGGCAAGCGUGGUCCGGAUUUACUGGGGGUAAAGGGCGGGUAGCCGGGCUGACAAGUCAGAUGUGAAAUCCGGGGGCUCAACCCCCGAACUGCAUUUGAAACUGUUGGUCUUGAGUAUCGGAGAGGCAGGCGGAAUUCCUAGUGUAGCGGUGAAAUGCGUAGAGAUUAGGAGGAACACCAGUGGCGAAGGCGGCCUGCUGGACGACAACUGACGGUGAGGCGCGAAAGCGUGGGGAGCAAACAGGAUUAGAUACCCUGGUAGUC
RNAcentral lists this ribosomal RNA (442 nucleotides) under uncultured bacterium. Its description in RNAcentral is "partial 16S ribosomal RNA". It matches the Rfam family "Bacterial small subunit ribosomal RNA", at positions 338 to 795 of the family's 1533-position model. The record is from RNAcentral.